Bubalus bubalis (water buffalo) is the source of this 803-nucleotide long non-coding RNA. RefSeq lists it as uncharacterized. Lineage: Eukaryota; Metazoa; Chordata; Mammalia; Artiodactyla; Bovidae. The transcript is spliced from 4 exons. The record is from RefSeq and is a predicted model, not a curated record.
GGGGACACAGUGGCCGAAAGGGUGGAGAUGCGUGAAGUGUCGGUGAGCGGACUGGCCCGCGCCCUCUUAGGUGCGCACUUUUUAAGGCUUUCCGCGCUGUUUAAACACCGACAACAAAGGACGGGCCGCUCCCCUGCUAGGUGCCUCGAUCGCCGCUCACCGGAUGGAAGCAAAUAGCCGACCUCUGGUCUACAGAUAGGCGUUCUUCUCUUCCUUUUGGUUAGGAACAUCUUUUGAAACCUAGCAUAAACUGAAAACCCACGACCUAGUAAAUAAAAAAAAAUGUCGAAAUCAGCGGUAGCUUCAUCAAGAAUUUUAUUUUGUUGCUUCUCAAGAGGCUGAAAAGUCUCCAGAUCUGCAGUUUGAAGGCCCAAGAAGCAAUGUCAUGUUCCAGUCCAAGUGCAAAGGCCUGAUUCAACUUCGUAUUCUUUCCAUCGUUUUCCUAAUAUCCAUUUCCAUACUUGUUCCCAAGAUUUCUGUCUGUGACAAUUAGAAGACUCAAGGAGUUCUUUUGAAGUGCUAUUCACCUCCUCAUAAAUCAGAUGUGAAGACUGAAAUUCCUGCAGCUUUCCUGGACCAUGGAGUACCAUUCUCAAGAGAGAACAUGUUAGAAACAGCAAGCCAAUCAGCUGAAGGGAAGCCUGGGACUGGAACUGGUCCAGACACAGAAUUCCUUGUACUGAAGUUAACUCUCCAUGCUGCUACAUAGUUUUGUUAAAGACUGAGGAAUCCGGAUUCUGGGAAAUGUAUUUUAAUUAUUGUAAUUACCUUAGUUGAAUAAAUUAAAAACAAUCGUAUUUUUA